This 427-nucleotide ribosomal RNA is filed under the name uncultured bacterium. RNAcentral's name for it is "partial 16S ribosomal RNA". It matches the Rfam family "Bacterial small subunit ribosomal RNA", at positions 355 to 774 of the family's 1533-position model. The record is from RNAcentral.
UGGGGAAUAUUGGACAAUGGGGGCAACCCUGAUCCAGCCAUGCCGCGUGUGUGAAGAAGGCCUUUUGGUUGUAAAGCACUUUAAGCAGUGAAGAAGACUCCAUGGUUAAUACCCAUGGACGAUGACAUUAGCUGCAGAAUAAGCACCGGCUAACUCUGUGCCAGCAGCCGCGGUAAUACAGAGGGUGCAAGCGUUAAUCGGAAUUACUGGGCGUAAAGCGAGCGUAGGUGGCGUGAUAAGUCAGAUGUGAAAGCCCCGGGCUUAACCUGGGAACGGCAUCUGAUACUGUUAGGCUAGAGUAGGUGAGAGGAAGGUAGAAUUCCAGGUGUAGCGGUGAAAUGCGUAGAGAUCUGGAGGAAUACCGAUGGCGAAGGCAGCCUUCUGGCAUCAUACUGACACUGAGGUUCGAAAGCGUGGGUAGCAAACA